RNAcentral lists this long non-coding RNA (992 nucleotides) under Androctonus crassicauda. Lineage: Eukaryota; Metazoa; Arthropoda; Arachnida; Scorpiones; Buthidae. The record is from RNAcentral.
AUUAACUAAAUUUAGAUUAAAAAUAAAAAUAACAUAAAAUUAAUUAAAUAGAUAAAUGGCAUUUUGAUAUAUUCAUUUCACUUUUAAGAUUUUUUACAUUUAUAUUUAAAGUUCAGCUCAACAAUUAAUGAUAUGAAAAUUACAGAUUUUAUUCAUGAACACUAAUAAUUGUAUAUUUUUAAGAGCAAUUGAUAAGUUGCUGACCAAAUCGAUAAAAACAGUAUAUAGGAACAAGCAUUUCCAGAAAGAACUAAAAUUCCUACUUUUCAAAGAUAUCAUUUAUUUAGCAUUUGAAAUCUAUUUGAUUUUUGUAGGCAUGAGAUGCAAAUUGAGUUGUCAUUCAUAUUUCCAUGAUGCUGACAUCAUUCAUAUCACAUAUAUUUAUGGCAUCAUGAUGGUAUAAAUAUUGUGAUUUGUGAUGUUAUCCACUGUUAAAUCAUGAUGCCAUCACAUAGAGAUAGUGAUGUCAUUAAGAUAGGUAUUGUUAAUAGAUGGUGCUGUAUUAAGAAAUCAGGUAAGCCACAUAUUCCUCUACAUUGCUAACUCUUAGCAUCGUUUAUUGGCAAUAAUAUAACUAAACUUGUGAUAAAAAUUAAAAUCUGUCAUACAGGAUUAAAAGAUAUGGCAUUGUGGUAUUCUUUAAUAGCAGAGCAUUUCUAUCAAGUUUCAUGAAAAUCUGCUAAUUAGUUAAAAGUUAUUUGUAGGAGACACACAGACAUGAUCCCAAUCUUAUAAACCUCCAUUUCCUUCAGAAAGUAGGCUAAAAAGAAAUAAUUUUGGCCAAUACAACAAAAUUAUUUGAGAAAAUGAAUAAAAUUAAUAAUGAUUUUUAGAGUUAAUUCUGACUAAAGCAAUUGCUAAAGUUUCAUUGCUAUUUUCCCAAUUACUAAAUGUAAAUUUUAAAAUUUAUAUCACAAUUUUGGUGAAAUUUUUCUGCUUAUUGGAUUAAUAUUUAAUCAAAAUCUCCAUUAAUUAUUUCAAGAUGGUAGCUG